UGGGGGAGUGGUGGAAUGGCAGACACGCAUGCUUCAGGUGCAUGUGCUCGUAAGGGUGUGGGGGUUCAAAUCCCCUCUCCCCCAU
This 85-nucleotide transfer RNA is filed under the name Lactococcus garvieae. RNAcentral describes it as "tRNA-Ser". It matches the Rfam family "tRNA". From Rfam's summary of the family: Transfer RNA (tRNA) molecules are approximately 80 nucleotides in length. Their secondary structure includes four short double-helical elements and three loops (D, anti-codon, and T loops). RNAcentral also lists the same sequence under 1 other name. The record is from RNAcentral. Lineage: Bacteria; Bacillati; Bacillota; Bacilli; Lactobacillales; Streptococcaceae.